AGGACGAACGCUGGCGGCGUGCUUAACACAUGCAAGUCGAGCGGAAAGGCCCUUCGGGGUACUCGAGCGGCGAACGGGUGAGUAACACGUGAGUAACCUGCCCCCUACUUUGGGAUAACCCUCGGAAACGGGGGCUAAUACCGGAUAUGACUUCUCCUGGCAUCAGGGGUGGUGGAAAGUUUUUCGGUGGGGGAUGGGCUCGCGGCCUAUCAGCUUGUUGGUGGGUAAUGGCCUACCAAGGCGACGACGGGUAGCCC
This 257-nucleotide ribosomal RNA is filed under the name uncultured bacterium. Its description in RNAcentral is "partial small subunit ribosomal RNA". It matches the Rfam family "Bacterial small subunit ribosomal RNA", at positions 26 to 289 of the family's 1533-position model. The record is from RNAcentral.